This is a transfer RNA of Penicillium polonicum, 90 nucleotides long. It matches the Rfam family "tRNA". From Rfam's summary of the family: Transfer RNA (tRNA) molecules are approximately 80 nucleotides in length. The record is from Rfam. Lineage: Eukaryota; Fungi; Ascomycota; Eurotiomycetes; Eurotiales; Aspergillaceae.
GCCUCUUUAGCUCAGUGGUAGAGCGUACCACUCGUAUGUAUAUCAACUUACUCAAUGGUAAGGUCGUCGGAUCAAUCCCGACAGGAGGCA